AUUUUUUCGGUUGGUCUUCUUUCAUAGAUCUACAUUUUCUUGCCUGAGAAUACAUAGGCCACCCAUGCCACCUGUCAACAUUAGAGACCACAAUCAAUGGGGAAGAAACAGACCUCAGGUUGUGACAUGGAUGGGCCCACCCCUAAUAGAACCAAGUGCCCUGGGGAGAGAUGUUGGUGGCAGUCUUAAUGUACCUUGUAGGUAGG
Molecule: non-coding RNA, 206 nt
Organism: Pelobates cultripes (western spadefoot toad)
Lineage: Eukaryota; Metazoa; Chordata; Amphibia; Anura; Pelobatidae
Source: the annotation of a GenBank genome assembly